RNAcentral lists this ribosomal RNA (161 nucleotides) under Areca triandra. RNAcentral's name for it is "5.8S rRNA". It matches the Rfam family "5.8S ribosomal RNA". From Rfam's summary of the family: 5.8S ribosomal RNA (5.8S rRNA) is a component of the large subunit of the eukaryotic ribosome. It is transcribed by RNA polymerase I as part of the 45S precursor that also contains 18S and 28S rRNA. Functionally, it is thought that 5.8S rRNA may be involved in ribosome translocation. The record is from RNAcentral. Lineage: Eukaryota; Viridiplantae; Streptophyta; Magnoliopsida; Arecales; Arecaceae.
ACGACUCUCAACAAAAGAUAUCUCGACUCUCGCAUCGAUGAAGAACAUAGUGAAAUGCGAUACCUGGUGUGAAUUGCAGAAUCCCAUGAACCAUCGAGUCUUUGAAAGCAAGUUGCACCCGAGGCCACCCAGUCGAGGGCAUGCCUGCCUGGGUGUCAUGC